GUGUCCAAUGGAGUUAAAUGGUCCUCCACUUGGUCAACCAACAACUCCAACACCUAUUGAGCAAUCUCAUGCACAAGUGCCCACACAAGAUGACUUUGAUGAUAUAGACAAGCUCACAUUGCUUAGUCUCGGGUUCACUUGAAGUGCUGAAGAUGAUCCAAUUAGGCCGGUGAUACUAGAGGAAAUGAAGAAGAUCAAGAGUGGAAAAGAGCUAGUGGAAGAAGUAAGGAAAAUUGAGAAGAAUAUCAAUGCCGGGUGCACUAUCUCAUCCCUCCUUGAGCUGAGUGUUGCUAGGAUAUCCCUUGAGGUGUGUGAGGUUUCAACACUGUCACAUUCAGCUGAGCAAGGUAGCGAGAGUCCAGAGGAAGAGACACUUCAGAUCCAAGAAGAAAUACUUGAAGACAAGGAACAAGAUGAUCCAGAGCUGCAAUUCCCAAGUGAUCAAGAUGAAGACAAAAGAUCUACUACUCUUGAAGAAGUAAAAGAAGCUUCUGUAGAUGAACUUGAAGAACCAGAAAUUCAUUUGCCUAUUGUCAUACAAGAGCGUGAUGAGUCAGGUUCGAGGUGACAUCCCUUGGGACCCCGGUGGAUUCAAGGCAUGGUGACGAGGAGAAGAAAGGAGCACACAUAUGGAAGAGAGAAGCUGGAGCAUUCUUGUGGAAGCAAAAGGAGAAGAGCUGUAGUUUAGAGAGUGUCGAGCGAGUGCUACAGCAAAGCUCGGUGAGCUGUUUCAUGACCCCAAUCUUAAUAUAUCAUCCAUUGAUACAUGCUGAAAUUAAAUUGCUAUUUGGGUUGCUUGUGCCAUUUCUUAAAUGUUGUCCCACAGAUAUUCACCUUUGGCAUCGUGCUUGAUGUGAAUUUUUGAACUUGAUUUCUGAAUGCCUUGUAAACUAGUGAUCUACACCAUGCGUGCUUGGCUGAAAUUAGUGAGAACUAUUAGUUUUGAGUGCUCAAAUCCCUAGUACACUAGAAAACUUCAUCAUUUUCUGCAUUUACUAUGAUACACCUAGAUCACCAUGUUUAGAUGCUGAAUUUGUGCGAAGUGUGUUCCCAUUGAGAGCAAUCACCUAACCACUAUGGAUUAGCAUGCUAUGUUCCCUGGAUCGAUAGCAUGUGAACCAGACAUGGAGAAGUGAGGAUUCCUUUUUUUUUGUGAUUAUGUGUUGUUCAUUAAAUAUAUAUAUAUAUAUAUAUAUAUAUUAUAAUUAAUAAUUAUUUGAUCUUACCUAACAGUAGCAUGUCAUGUUCCCUGGAUCGGUGGCUUGUGAAAUCUGGUUGGAUCAGAUAGGAGUUAAUUAUAUUAAAAAAUUAAUUGUCGAACCAGGUGUAUACCAUGUUCUCGGGACCGGUGGUAUGUUCCUUUGGGGAGACAAACAUAAAAACAAAAAAAUUGGUCGAGCCAGGUGUAUACCAUGUUCUCGGGAUCGGUGGUAUGUUCCUUUGGUGAGACCGGUAAAAUAUUAUCAUUACUUCCUUCAAAUUCAAUAGGUGCUUCAACCAUAAUGUUAUGUUUCGGGUAAUAAGUUUUUUUGGGAUCAUGCUCUCUUUAGGAACCCUUUGGCGCAAUCAGCAUUUGAACUUGUUGAUCCACUUUUAUCUUUGUAAAAGUUUAAAAUGAUUGAGUUUACUAGUGUCCUAUUGCUCUGUAGCACUCUUAACCAUUGAUUUUCACUAGCUAAGUCGAAAGCAUGCAUUGUUUAGAGAUCUACUUCACUUGGACAUUCUCUAGCCAGCUCACUAUUCACUAUCCUGCUCUUGUCAUAUUCCUUUGCUUGAGGACAAGCAAAGAUUUAAGUGUGGGGGAACUUGAUAAGCACAUUUCAUAUACAUCUUUUGGCACUCAAAUAUGCGGUUUAUUGAGAUAUGACCAUCAAUUCUUGUUGUGAAAUAUUGAAUAUUUGCAUGAAAAUCGUAUAAAGGAUCAUUUACUAGUCUUUGCUCUAUUUUGCAGAAGUGUGCGCAAAGGCACUAUAAAUCUUCAAGUUCCUGUCCAUUGGGCAACCGAGAUGAGCAUAUGAAAGAAGAGAAGGAAGAGGGACUUGCGUGUGAUGAAUAUCAAAGCUUCAAGGGCUAGAAAGAAAGAGUGGAGGGAUCAACUUGUGAAGUAGGCAGAGAAGUAGAAGGGCCGAAGUGCAAAAGUGCAGAUCUAAGGAGAGGGUCAAAAUCCCUAGCAGCAGCCAUGAUCCCCUUUCAGGCCUGGCAUCUCCAUUCCCCUUACCCCACCUUCUCCACCACCGGUCGCCGCCGCGGCCAGGCCGGCGCGGCGGUGUGCCAACCAGCGCCACCCAUCCUCGUCAUCUCCAUCACCCGCCGCUGCACCAUCCACCAUCAUCCAUCCAUAUCGCCGCCACCAUUGCUGCAUCACCAUCACCAUCUCUAGCGCCACCCACCAGCGCCGCCAUUCGCGCGACCCGCCAUACGGGCGUCUGGUUCCCCGUGCGACCAUCACCUCAUCUCCCUUGCUUCACCAUCUCCCUGUUGCUGCUCUUCUUCUUCUUCCCCUUGCUGUUGUUGCCUCCUGUCCGUUGCAUCUCCCUUAGCGCUGCUGCUGCUUCUCUCUUCUGCGUCCCCUGCUGCUCCUAACUUUCUCAAUCUCUGCCGCUUCUUCUCCGGGACCCCUUGAUGCUGCUUCUCUCUGAACCGAGUUGCUGCUCCUCCUUCUUGCUUCGUCCUGCUGCUUAUUUUCUUUCCCUCGCCUUCCUCAACUGCUGCCGUUCCUUCUUCCUAUGCACCCCUACUGCCCCUCUCUCUCGCAACUCCUGCUGCUGCUCUUCUUCCUCUUCUCCUCACCUUGAUGCUACUCUGAAUCUUAACUUGUUGCCGCCACUUCUUCUUCUCUGAACCCAACGCUGCUAGCUGCUCCUCCUAGUGUCGCUUCUCUUCUGCCCAACAAAACUGCUGUUGCUCUCUUUAUUUCUCUUCAUCCCUCUCUUUCUAUGCGUGUGUGUGUACUUUCUGUGAGUUAUUAGUGGAUGCUAGAUCAACUAUAUUAUAUUCUGAAUUAGUAUUAUUUGUGUCUGUAUGUCAGUUAGUUUACUUUAAUAAUUCAGAUCACCUGUGAUCUUUGUAUUGAAUGUGCUUUCAGUGUUCUUGAGAAGUGUAAAACUGUUCAACGUUCAGUUACAAUUUCUGAAACUUCUAUGAUUCAGUGGUGUCUCUAUGUCAUAUAUUUA
Long non-coding RNA from Triticum dicoccoides, 3173 nucleotides. RefSeq lists it as uncharacterized. The transcript has 2 exons. NCBI's taxonomy places the organism in Eukaryota, Viridiplantae, Streptophyta, Magnoliopsida, Poales, Poaceae. The record is from RefSeq and is a predicted model, not a curated record.